AACUAUAACGGUCCUAAGGUAGCGAAAUUCCUUGUCAGGUAAGUUCUGACCCGCAUGAAAGGCGUAAUGAUUUGGGCACUGUCUCAACAGCCCGCCCGGCGAAAUUGUAGUACCGGUGAAGAUGCCGGUUACCCGCGACAAGACGGAAAGACCCCAUGGAGCUUUACUGUAGCCUAAUAUUGGGUUUCGAUGUUGCAUGCACAGGAUAGAUGGGACACUGGGAAGCAGGUGCUUUGGCGCUUGUGGAGUGGCCGUUGGGAUACCAUCCUUGCGAUAUUGGAAUUCUAACCUGCGCCUUUGAAUCAAGGCGGGGGACAUUGUUAGGUGGGCAGUUUGACUGGGGCGGUCGCCUCCUAAAGAGUAACGGAGGCGUUCAAAGGUUCGCUCAGCUUGAACGGAAAUCAAGCAAAAGAGUGCAAACGCAGAAGCGAGCCUAACUGCGAGACUGACGGGUCGAGCAGUAACGAAAGUUGGAGUUAGUGAUCCGGUGGUAUGUGAGUGGAAAUGCCAUCGCUCAACGGAUAAAAGUUACCCUGGGGAUAACAGGCUGAUCUCCCCCAAGAGUCCACAUCGACGGGGAGGUUUGGCACCUCGAUGUCGGCUCAUCGCAUCCUGGGGCUGUAGCAGGUCCCAAGGGUUGGGCUGUUCGCCCAUUAAAGCGGUACGCGAGCUGGGUUCAGAACGUCGUGAGACAGUUCGGUCCCUAUCUGUCGUGGGCGCAGGAUAUUUGAUGGGAGCUGUUCCUAGUACGAGAGGACCGGAGCGGACGUACCUCUGGCGCACCAGUUGUUCUGCCAAGAGCAUAGCUGGGCAACUAUGUACGGAUCGGAUAAACGCUGAAAGCAUCUAAGCGUGAAGCCGACCCAAAGAUAAGAUAUCCCAUUGUUUCAAACAAGUAAGACCCCUUGAAGACUACAAGGUUGAUAGGCACGAUGUGUAAGUGGAGCGAUCCAUUCAGCAAGCGUGUACUAAUAGGUCGAGGGCUUGACCAC
RNAcentral lists this ribosomal RNA (992 nucleotides) under metagenome. Its description in RNAcentral is "bacterial LSU rRNA". It matches the Rfam family "Bacterial large subunit ribosomal RNA", at positions 1938 to 2925 of the family's 2925-position model. The record is from RNAcentral.